AAAAGUAGUCGAAAAUGAAGACAAAGACAGGAGAAAUGGGAAUGGACAGGAUUUUGGGGAGAAACUCGUCACGGGAAACACCCCGACGACUUCACAGUCGACCGAGCCGAGCCGUCUGACACCCUGAGGCACCCUGGCUAUGGAGAAAAGACUCGAGAACAGCAGCAGCCAGGGUAUGUUGUCACACUAUGGGGCCUCGUCUGUACCUGCGAUGAGUGAGAAAGCUGCCGUUGGCAUGUCCUGAUCCAUCACAUCCUGGCGUGGGGCAGGUCGGGCCCUCAGUCUUGAAGGCCUUCCAGGAGAACGGUGUGCCAUUUAACAUGCCCUCCUUCUGCCGGCGUGCUGCCAGUGGGCACCCAUAGGCACUGCGGUGGGUGGCGUAUUUCCCACUGAUAUGCCCCAGACUGUCACAACCUGGCACUGGGCACCUAUAGAGAGUCCUUGGGCUGGAAUUUGACCUUGAAGCUGGAGGUUGUGACCUCACCAGGGUACUUCCUGUCCUCCAUGCUCUCCUGAGUGGCAUCAUCAUCUUCUCCAUCAGAGGAGGCAUAUGAAUGUGUGGUGUACUCCACCUGAGGACAAUGGCACAUCAAAACAAAAAAAACAGCUGAAUUUGUAGAAUGUAU
Megalobrama amblycephala (Wuchang bream) is the source of this 626-nucleotide long non-coding RNA. RefSeq lists it as uncharacterized. Lineage: Eukaryota; Metazoa; Chordata; Actinopteri; Cypriniformes; Xenocyprididae. The transcript is spliced from 4 exons. The record is from RefSeq and is a predicted model, not a curated record.